Molecule: transfer RNA, 94 nt
Filed under: Asanoa iriomotensis
Lineage: Bacteria; Bacillati; Actinomycetota; Actinomycetes; Micromonosporales; Micromonosporaceae
Description: tRNA-Arg
Source: RNAcentral
CGGCCCGUUGCGGGUCCGGGACACGCCCAUCUCCGAGAUGGGCUUCGUCGGUGCCGCGGUCGGUGCCGCCGCGGUCGGCAUGCGGCCGGUCGCC